RNAcentral lists this ribosomal RNA (497 nucleotides) under uncultured bacterium. Its description in RNAcentral is "partial 16S ribosomal RNA". It matches the Rfam family "Bacterial small subunit ribosomal RNA", at positions 28 to 507 of the family's 1533-position model. The record is from RNAcentral.
GACGAACGCUGGCGGCGUGCCUAAUACAUGCAAGUUGAGCGCUGAAGGUUGGUACUUGUACCGACUGGAUGAGCAGCGAACGGGUGAGUAACGCGUGGGGAAUCUGCCUUUGAGCGGGGGACAACAUUUGGAAACGAAUGCUAAUACCGCAUAAAAACUUUAAACACAAGUUUUAAGUUUGAAAGAUGCAAUUGCAUCACUCAAAGAUGAUCCCGCGUUGUAUUAGCUAGUUGGUGAGGUAAAGGCUCACCAAGGCGAUGAUACAUAGCCGACCUGAGAGGGUGAUCGGCCACAUUGGGAACGAGACACGGGCCAAACCCCCACGGGGAGGAGCAGUAGGGGAACUUCGGCAAUGGACGAAAGUCUGGCCGGGCAACGCCGCGGGGGUGAAGAAGGUUUUCGGAUCGGAAAACUCUGUUGGUAGAGAAGAACGUUGGUGAGAGUGGAAAGCUCAUCAAGUGACGGUAACUACCCAGAAAGGGACGGCUAACUACGUG